UGACCGUUUGAUAGAUCCGCAAAUCUCAGGCGUUUCAAAUCAUUUAUUUCAUAUUAAUCACAAUCUAAGAAAUUAAAAUUUUGUUUUCCACUCGAAUCCGUUUCUCACUGAGAACUGAGAAGAGAGUUAUCUGAAUCUGUAGUUUGCUUAGAAGAAGAGGAAACAAAGAGCAUAUUUUUUUUUACAAUGUUGAUGUCGAAUUGUGCGUCGGUGGAAGAAGAGACUAAGGAAUCUGAAUCCGUGGCGGCGAAGGAAGAUGACGCUGAUCAUCAUCCUUACGCGUUUCACGUUUCUGGACCGAGGAACGUAUCUUCUCCAAACUGGAGAGAUCUAAUCAAUUCCAGUUGGAAGGAUCCAAACUAUAAGAGGACAGUAAUGGCAUGUUUUAUUCAAGCAGCGUACUUACUUGAACUCGACAGACAAGAGAACCGAGACGAGCAAAACGCUCUCGCACCCAAAUGGUGGAUUCCUUUCAAGUACAAGUUAACGCAAACGCUGAUUGAUGAGAGAGACGGAUCCAUAUUUGGAGCUCUUCUUGAAUGGGACAGAUCUGCUGCAAUGGCUGACUUAGUCGUCAUCAGACCGAGCGGUGCACCAAAAGCAGUACUUGCGCUAAGAGGAACGAUACUCAAGAGCCUUACCAUGAGACGUGAUAUCCAAGACGAUCUCCGGUUUUUAGCUUGGGAGAGUCUUAAAGGCUCUGUGAGGUUUAACGUUGCUCUCGAAGCGCUGGAGUCAGUAGCGAAGAGAUAUGGUAGCAGUAAUGUCUGUGUUGUCGGUCACUCUUUAGGAGCAGGUUUUGCUUUACAAGUUGGCAAGGCAUUGGCUAAAGAUGGGCUGUUCGUUGAUGCGCAUUUGUUCAACCCACCUUCUAUAUCUUUAGCUAUGAGCUUAAGAAACAUUGGUGAAAAAGCUGGUGUUGCUUGGAAACGACUCAUGUCGAUGCUUCCUCCCAAAAACGAGCCUUUGGUACCAAAUGGUUGUGAAGAAGAGGUUGCUCCUGGGAGUGUUUCAGGAGGGUUUAGGAACUGGGUACCGAGUUUCUACGGACAGAAUCAGAAAUCUUCUGUGGAUUUGAGAAAAUGGGUGCCUCAUUUGUAUGUGAACGACAGUGACUAUAUCUGCUGCCACUACACAGACCAGGAUGGAGUGAACGACAAGGGAGAAGUGAACAACGACAAGGAGAACCAGAGUCCUGUUGUGAAGAACACUAUUCCUCAAGCAGCAGCAAAGCUUUUCGUGAUGUCAAAAGGGAAACAGAAGUUUCUCGAGGCGCAUGGGUUAGAACAAUGGUGGUCGGAGAAUCUAGAGCUUCAAUCAGCUAUUCACAGCAGCAGGCUGAUCACUCAGCAACUCCAGUCAUUAUACAGUGUCAAGUAAACAUCAAGCAACAGAACCAUCUUCAUCGUUCAAUAAACACUUUUGUUCCCUUUUGCUAUCUUUACGGUUUGACCUAAGAACAUUUUUUCCAGGAAAUGUAAUUAGCAUAAGUGUAAGAAAGAAAAAACAAGUUAAAAUGCACCGACCGACUGGCUUUUGUUGCCAAUACUUGUGCCAAUAACCAUCAUAUGGUUGUUGUAAGUCGCUUAUUCAUUUUGUUGACAAAAAAA
Molecule: RNA transcript, 1610 nt
Organism: Brassica rapa (field mustard)
Lineage: Eukaryota; Viridiplantae; Streptophyta; Magnoliopsida; Brassicales; Brassicaceae
Gene name: GDSL esterase/lipase At4g10955
Source: RefSeq, a predicted model, not a curated record